AUUGAACGCUGGCGGCAUGCUUUACACAUGCAAGUCGAACGGUAACAGGGAGCUUGCUCCGCUGACGAGUGGCGAACGGGUGAGUAAUGCGUCGGAACGUGCCGAGUAGUGGGGGAUAACGCAUCGAAAGGUGUGCUAAUACCGCAUACGAACUGAGGUUGAAAGUGGGGGACCUUCGGGCCUCACGCUAUUCGAGCGGCCGACGUCUGAUUAGCUAGUUGGUGAGGUAAAGGCUCACCAAGGCGACGAUCAGUAGCGGGUCUGAGAGGAUGAUCCGCCACACUGGGACUGAGACACGGCCCAGACUCCUACGGGAGGCAGCAGUGGGGAAUUUUGGACAAUGGGCGCAAGCCUGAUCCAGCCAUGCCGCGUGUCUGAAGAAGGCCUUCGGGUUGUAAAGGACUUUUGUCCGGGAGCAAAUGCUGGUGGCUAACAUCCACCGGAGCUGAGAGUACCGGAAGAAUAAGCACCGGCUAACUACGUGCCAGCAGCCGCGGUAA
This 500-nucleotide ribosomal RNA is filed under the name uncultured bacterium. Its description in RNAcentral is "partial 16S ribosomal RNA". It matches the Rfam family "Bacterial small subunit ribosomal RNA", at positions 30 to 523 of the family's 1533-position model. The record is from RNAcentral.